GCCGCCCUAAUUCCUGAUGAAACUGACGGAUCAAUCCUUCCUCCUCUCACUCCAUCUCCAUUGCUGGCUCGACCAUAGAUUCACCAUACAGUUUUGAAAAUUAUUAGCAAUAUUAUUCUCAAUCGGAGAACCCAACUUUAUCUCCCUCAAAAUGCAUCCGGCGAAUCGGCUAAAUCGAACGAAUCAAAUACUUCAAAAGAGAAGAACUCAAAGUCCUAACAGAAUUCUGUUCGAGAGACUGAAAAGCAUCACUUCAAGGAUGGAUCUGAAGAGAAUUAUGGUUUCUUCACCAAAACCGAGCAAUCAAAUUCUCAAAGUUUUGUGAAUGUUGUAGGUUCUGCUUAGUUAACGGUCAACCGGAGCAAGCAGAAAAAACUUAAACUAAGGUGACGGAGUUUGAACCCGCAACCUCAAAACCAACACAGUUUCACGCUGCCAACUGUGCUACAACCCGCUGGUGAUUCUUGUGAUCUUUCUAGUG
Molecule: non-coding RNA, 481 nt
Organism: Salvia hispanica
Lineage: Eukaryota; Viridiplantae; Streptophyta; Magnoliopsida; Lamiales; Lamiaceae
Source: RefSeq, a predicted model, not a curated record